UGCCCCGAAGACCGGGACAAGCCGGGGAAACCUGGUCUAAUACCGGAUGCCCUCACCGGAUCGCAUGAUCCGGCGAGGAAAUGGAUUCCGCUUCGGGAUGGGCUCGCGGUCUAUCAGCUUGUUGGUGGGGUAACGGCCUACCAAGGCGACGACGGAUAGCUGGUCUGAGAGGACGAUCAGCCACACUGGGACUGAGACACGGCCCAGACUCCUACGGGAGGCAGCAGUUAGGAAUCUUGCGCAAUGGGGGAAACCCUGACGCAGCGACGCCGCGUGCGGGAUGAAGGCCCUCGGGUUGUAAACCGCUUUCAGCAGGGACGAAAUUGACGGUACCUGCAGAAGAAGGCCCGGCCAACUACGUGCCAGCAGCCGCGGUAAUACGUAGGGGCCUAGCGUUGUCCGGAAUUAUUGGGCGUAAAGAGCUCGUAGGCGGUUCGGCAAGUCGGAUGUGAAAUCUCCACGCUCAACGUGGAGGGGCCAUUCGAAACUGCCGUGACUCGAGUCCGGUAGGGGAGUGUGGAAUUCCCGGUGUAGCGGUGAAAUGCGCAGAUAUCGGGAGGAACACCAGUAGCGAAGGCGGCACUCUGGGCCGGUACUGACGCUGAGGAGCGAAAGCGUGGGGAGCGAACAGGAUUAGAUACCCUGGUAGUCCACGCCGUAAACGUUGGGCACUAGGUGUGGGACCCUAUCGACGGGUUCCGUGCCGUAGCUAACGCAUUAAGUGCCCCGCCUGGGGAGUACGGCCGCAAGGCUAAA
This 756-nucleotide ribosomal RNA is filed under the name uncultured bacterium. Its description in RNAcentral is "bacterial SSU rRNA". It matches the Rfam family "Bacterial small subunit ribosomal RNA", at positions 127 to 898 of the family's 1533-position model. The record is from RNAcentral.